CCUGCCCAUUGAAUUUUUUGAAAGGCCGCGGUAUUUUGACUGUGCAAAGGUAGCGUAGUAAUUAGUUUUUUAAUUGAAAGCUUGAAUGAAAGGUUGAACAAAGAAAAAGCUGUCUUUAAUAUUUCUCUUAAACUUUACAUUUAAGUGAAAAGGCUUAAAUAAAUUUAAGGGACGAUAAGACCCUAUAAAUCUUUACAUUUAUUUGUUUAUUUAUUUUAUUAGAAAAAAAUAAUUAAAAUGCAAAAACAUGUUGUAUUGGGGUGAUAGGGAUAUAAAAAUAUUUAAACUGUCUUUAAUAUUAAACAAAUAUAAUUGAUUAACAAAGAGAUCCUCUAAUGGAGAUUAGAAGUUUAAGUUACUUUAGGGAUAACAGCGUAAUUUUUUUUGAGAGUUCUUAUCGAAAGAAGAGUUUGCGACCUCGAUGUUGAAUUAAAAUUUUCUUUGUGGUGCAGAAGUCAUAAGAGGAAAGUCUGUUCGAC
Molecule: ribosomal RNA, 479 nt
Filed under: Munidopsis dasypus
Lineage: Eukaryota; Metazoa; Arthropoda; Malacostraca; Decapoda; Munidopsidae
Description: partial 16S ribosomal RNA
Rfam family: Archaeal large subunit ribosomal RNA
Source: RNAcentral